CCUGCAACCCCAAGCUCCUACAGCCCCUGGAGGGGGCCUCGGCGGCCAGAACCCGAGCACCACCCUCCUCGUGGCUGCUCCGUGCUAGGGGUCGGGGCGCCCGCACCCCUGACUUGACUGCGAGGCAGGAUGGCGCCGGAUCGAGCUCGUCCCCCUUCCCGGGCCCCGAAGCAGAGCGACACUCACCCAUCACUCUCGGCGCUGGCUGAGAAAGGGAAAACGCAAAGCCUCACGGUCCGGUUUGUAAAACGCAGUCCCGCCCCUUUAACGUGGUUUCUGCGCGCCGCUGUGAGGAUCCCGGAGUCUGAGUGCGACGUCACUGACGUUUCUGCGACAGUACCGCGGACCUCCCGCUGCGAGAGGGGCCUCUGCGCUCCUAACUCGUGGACAGCGCUGGACCCGCGUUUGCUGCCGCUCGCUAGAGGUUGAGGACUUUAGGGUACAUCCGAGGUGGAGUCACCUGGCUUUACGCUUUGAAAAGACUCGUUUUAGAAGCUGGGCGCAGCUGCGAUGGGAAAAGGUGGAAGGCAGCAGGGAGGGAAACGAGUGGUGGACUUAGGUUUGAUUCUGAAGGGUUUGGUGAUACAUUGGACUUGGGGGGAGGGGGUUAGGGAAAGGGGUGUGUGUCGAGGAUUACUAAUUCCUCACUUGAUGAGUUGGAUGAAAAUCGGUGCCUUUUACUGAGAUGGGGUAAACUAAGGUAGGAGCGGUUCUGGUCAUGUUCAUUUUGAGAUCUUGGUGACCUCUAAGUGGGAAUGACGGGCAGCUGGAUGUUCAUGUCUUGGUCAUCCAUAUGGAAGAAAUUUGGACAGAAGAUGUUACUUUGGGAAUCAUUACUAUGCAAAUGUAAUUAAAGUUUCCAGAAUGAAUGGCAUCUAGGUAGAGAGCAUAAAGCACACUUUUCUUGUAAAAUGUACUAAAUAAAUACUUUAGGCUUGUGAGAUACAGAGUCUGUGUCACAACUACUCGACUUCGCUAGUGUGGUGUGAGAGUAAUCCUAGACAAUAGUAAACAAAUGUGUGUGGCAGUGUUCCAAAACUUACGAUACUGAGAUUCAUCUCUCAUGAACCAUUACGCUUUUGAUUUUUUACAAACAUUUAAAAACGUAACAACAACUCUUGGCGCACGGGCUCAAUCAGCAUACUGUGAUGUGCCAACCCUUAGCAUAAAGAAAUACAGGAAAAUGUUCUAGGUCCAAGGCUUGAGGAAUAUGAACAUUUAAGGCCAGGUAAAGAAAAACUGGCAGAGGAGACAAGGAGCAGUUAGACUGACAGGAAGAAAGCUAGCAUAGUAUAUCAUGGUCUAAUGCUACUGUAAAGGGUAGUGAAGGUCUAAAAAGGGAUUCUUGGAUUUAGUAACUUGAAAACCUUUUUUUUUUUUAAUUUUUAAUGUUUUAUUUUUGAGAGAGAGAAAGAGCAAGCGAGCAAGCAGGUGAAGGGCAGAGAGAAAGGGAGAAACAGAAUCCAAAGCAGGUUCCAGGCUCUGAGCUGUCAAUACAGAGCCCGAUGUGGGGCUUGAACUCACAAACCUUGAGAUCAUGACCUGAGCCGAAGUUGGACACUUAACUGACUGAGCCACCCAGGCAUCCCUCCCCACAGCAAUGAAAUUUUUAAAAAAUAAUAAGAGAGGAGACUGGCUGGUGGCUGGAGGGGAAACGGAUCAAAGGACAGUAUUUAAAGGAGUAAAUUGCCUAAAGGAGUCCUUUACACUCUGCUCCCAAUCCUAUCACAGCCCUUUGAAGGGAUUCUCUCAUUGUCUCUGCUCAAAAUCUCACCUCCAUGUACAAACACACGUGGGAGGACUUUUCUGAGCCUGCUGCUUUCUAAAGUAACAAUGCUUGGGGUGCCUGGCUGGUUCAGUCAGUAGAGCAUGUGACUCUUGAUCUCUGGGUUACGAGUUCAAGCCCCAUGUUGGGGGUAGAGCUUACUUUAAAAAAAACAACAAUCAAGGGGUGCCUCGGUGGCUCAGUCAGGUAAAGGUCCUACUUUUUUUUUUUUUUAAAUAUUUAUUUAUUUAUUUUGAGAGAGAGCAAGGCUGAAUGUGGGAGGGGCAGAGAGAGAGAGAGAAAGAAUCCCAAGCAGGCUCUGCACUGCCAGCACAGGGCCCAACUUGGGGCCUCUCAGGUCAUGAACCCUGAGAUCAUGACUGGAGCCAAAACCAAGAGUCUGAUGCUUAACUGGCUGAGCCACCCAUGUGCCCCAAGCACCCUACUUUUGAUUUCUGCUCAGGUCGUGAUCUCACAAUUUGUGAAGUUGCCCCAUAUUGGGCUAUGUGCUGAUGGCACUGGGCCUGCUUGGGAUUCUGUCUCUCGUUCUCUCUGCCCCUCCCCCGCUUGUGCGUGCUCUCUCUCUCUCAAAAUAAAUAAACUUAAAAAGUAAAUAAAAUAAAUGGGAAAAAAACAUGGUCACUUCAAAACACACAAAAAAAGCAUUUGACAAAAUCUAAUGCCUUUCAUGAUAAAAAUACUUAAACUAGAAACAGAAUUGAACUUCCACGUGAGAAAGACCAUCUAUAAAAACCCAUAGGUAGAAUCAAACUUAAUGAUCAGGAACAAGACAAGGACAUUAACUCUCACCACCUUUUUUUUUUUUUUUUUAAAUUUCUGGGAGGAGGGCGCAAGUGAGCGAGGAGCAGAGAGAGAGGGAGGGAGAAUUCCAGGAGGGGCAGGGAGAGAAAUUAUUAUUACACUAUAUGUUACCUAACUUAGAUUUAAAUUAAAAUAAAAAAUAAAAAAAGGCGGCACUUGGGUGGCUCAGUUGGUUAAGCAUCCGACUUCAGCUCAGGUCAUGAUCUCAUGGUUCAUGGGUUCGAGCCCCGCAUGGGCUCUCUGCUGACAGCUCAGAGCCUGGAGCCUGCUUCAGAUUCUGUGUCUCCCUCUCUCUCUGCCCCUCCCCUGUUCACACUGUCUCUCAAGAAUAAAUAAAUGUAAAAAAAAUUUUUUUUAAUGUGUUAAAAGUGACAGUGCAAAAAUGAAGAGAGAAAGUUAUAGAGGACUUGAUGAAUCUUAUUUCAUGAUUUAAUUUUUCCAAGUAAUCUGUACACCAUACAUGGGACUUGAACUCAGGACCCUGCGAUCAAGAGUCACAUACUCUACCAACUGAGCCAGUCAGGCACCCCAACAUGGAUCUUAAAUGCUAAGACCUCAUAUUGUAUGAUUCCAUUUAUAUGAAAUGUCCAGAAUAGCAAGUCCAUAGAGAAAGUAGAUUAGUGGUUGCCAGGGGCUGGGGGAAGAGGAGAUUGGGGGAUGACUGCUAAUGCGUAUUGGGUUUCUUUUUGGGUGAAAAUGUUCUUGAAUUGGGGCACCUGGGUGGUUCAGUUGGUUAAGCGUCCAACUUUGGCUCAGGUCAUGAUCUCACGUUUCUGAGUUUGAGCCCUGCAUCGGGCUCUUUGCUGUCAGCGUGGAGCCUGCUUCAGAUCCUGUCUCCCUCGCUGUCUGUCCCUCCCCCACUUGUGCACAUGCUGCGUGCUCUCUCAAAAAGAAACAUUAAAAAAAAAAAAAGAAAUAAUGUUCUGGAAUCAGUGGUGAUGGUUGCCUGAUUAAAUCAAUAUACCAAAACCACUGAAUUCAUAGUAUGUGAAUUUUAAAAGGGUGACUUUUAUAGUAUGUGGAUUGUAUCUCAAUAAAGCUGUUAUUUAAAAAAAAAAAGCCCUGAUAUUCAAGAAAUAAAGGUCAGUGUAGUUGGAGCGGUAGGAGAUGCAGUGUAUUCAUUCAUUUAAAAAUAUGAAUUGUGUGCUUACCAUAUGUUCCAGAUGUUAUGGAUACAGUAUUAAAUAAAACAAAAAUCUUUGUCCUUAUGCGCUUAGCUAGCUAGCACUUAUUUUUUUAUUUUUUAAUUUACAUCCAAGUUAGCAUAUAGUACAAAAAUGAUUUCAGGAGUAGAUUCCAGUGAUUCAUCCCCUACAUUUAACACCCAGUGCUCAGCCCAGCAGGUGUCUUCCUUAAUGCCUCUUACCCUUUUAGCCCAUCCCCCCUCCCACAGCCCCUCCAGCAACCCUAUGUUUGUUCUCUAUAUUUAAGAGUCUCUUAUGUUUUGACCCCUCCCUGUUUUUAUAUUAUUUUUGCCUCCCUUCCCUUAUGUUCAUCUGUUCCGUGUCUUAAAGUCCUCAUAUGAGUGAAGUGAUAUGAUAUUUGUCUUUCUCUAAUUUCGCUUAGCAUAAUACCCUCUAGUUCCUUCCACAUAGUUGCAAAUGGCAAGAUUUCAUUCUUUUUGAUUGCCGAGUAAUACUCCAUUGCGUAUAUAUAUACCACGUCUUCUUUAUCCAUUCAUCCGUCAGUGGGCAUUUGGGCUCUUUCCAUACUUUGGCUAUGGUCGAUAAGCUAGCUAGAACUUAUAUAGCACUUAUUAAAUGUUAGACAUUGUCCUUACUACCGUGUGUAUAUUAACACCUCUAUACCAGUAUUAUCCUCAUUUCACAAAUAGCACAAAGAGGUUAAACAACCCACUUAAGGUGGCCUCAGGAGCCAGGCUUUUAACCUCCUAAGUGUUCUGCCCAAACUGCAUUCCAACUGGACCAAUAGAGGAAGGAGCUGACCAGGCCACAGCAGGACAUUCAGAAUUUAUCUUUUGUGCGAAGGGACAUUAAAGGGUUCGAGGGCACAUGGAUGGCUCAGUCUGUUAAGCAUCUGAUUCGUGGUUUUGGCUCAGACCAUGAUCUCACGGUUUGUGAGAUCAGGCCCCAUAUCGGGCUCUGUGCUGCCAGUGUGGAGCUUGCUUGGGAUUCUUUGUCCCUCUCUCUGUACCUCUCAAAGUAAAUAAAUAUUUUAAAAAUUUUAAAAAGAAAAGAGUUUGAAGCAGGUGAUGACUUAUAAGGAUUCCCCUGGCUGGUCCCAUGAGGGACUCAUAUGCCAUUCCAAGUGAGAAGAUGGGUCAGGUCUGGUCAGGUCUUCAUUUAACCGACUGAGCCACCUAGGUGCCCCUUCUUCCUGAGGUCUUUCUAAAAUGUGCAUUCGGGGGCGCCUGGGUGGCGCAGUCGGUUAAGCGUCCGACUUCAGCCAGGUCACGAUCUCGCGGUCCGGGAGUUCGAGCCCCGCGUCGGGCUCUGGGCUGAUGGCUCAGAGCCUGGAGCAUGUUUCCGAUUCUGUGUCUCCCUCUCUCUCUGCCCCUCCCCCGUUCAUGCUCUGUCUCUCUCUGUCCCAAAAAAUAAACGUUGAAAAAAAAAAAAAAAAUUUAAAAAAAAAAUAAAAUGUGCAUUCGGUUGUGUGGCACUUAGGCUAAAAAUCUUUUAAUACCUUAUUACUAUUUAGAUAAUUAAUGUUAUUUUUUAUUUUUUUAAUGUUUAUUUAUUUUUUAGAGAGACAGAGACAGAAUGCGAGUGGGUUAGGGGCAGAGAGAGAGGGAGACACAGAAUCCGAAUCAGGCUCCAGGCUCUGAGCUGUCAGCACAGAACCCGAGGCGGGGCUUGAACCCAUGAGAUCAUGACCUGAGCUGAAGUCAGACGCUCAAUCGACUGAGCCACCCAGGCGCCCCUGAUAAUUCAUAUUCCAGGGCAAGGAAUCUGGAAUCUUCCAGUUCCCAACUGUCCAUGCUCUAUGACUGGUUCCUCAGUUCACCUGGCAAACUUCUAAUUUUUCAAGACCAAACUGGUAUUGCUCAUCAGAUCCUUUCCCACCUAGCAAGCCAAGUGCUUUCUUGUCAGUGUUGCCACAGAAUCCUGUAAUGUGUCUUGAGCAAAGACUGUAACUGACAAAGCACCAUCUUUCUGCUUAUGGCUCCUGUUCCCAGAAGACCUGGGACCUAGUAAGCACAGAACAAGGCAGAGAUUGGAAGCUUUACCACAUCAUUGAAACUGCUGGUAUGGAUUUGGCCUCCUAGGUAGAGUACAGAAUCAGCACUAUGGAAAGGUGCAGUAAUAUCUGUCCUUAGUCCGAGAAGGUUCAUACAGGUCUCAGCCCUUCCCACACACCAGUCAACAGGUUGACUUUUUCCUCUUUCUUUAUUGUUAGACACAAUGUAUAAACACGUAAAACAGGAAACAGCAGGGAUCCUCUUGGGCCUCAAAAAACAGCAAGGAAGAGAUCCCAGAAACUUUUUUAGAGUACAAGACAUGGUGCCUGAACCAAGGGCAUGGAAGGCAGGCCAGAGCCAGCAGAGAGCUGGACUAAAGGCUCCUUUCCUCUCCCCAGCACCAGGAUAACCCCAGGGAGCCCUUUACCAGCAGCCAGUCCUCAGAGGCAGAAGGACACCCAAGGAAACUCUUUACCAGAGAGUCUUCCCCUCCUGGAGAGAAAGGCAACACCCAGAGUAACUAAAAGCUCUAUCUUCCCACCCUUGCUCCCUGGAGAGCUGUAACCGAAGAAAAGGAGAGAAGUGUCCCUCGUCACUCUGACCCUCUCCCCAGCUGCCUCCAUACUUGGCGUUUACCAAAGCCUUUUCCAGCUCAGACCCUGACUAGACCCACCAGAUGCCCAAAGUUUGCUGGGGAGGUUGGGGAGGGGAAGAGGCUGGGUGUGACACCAAACAGAUCUUUUAUUCGCAGUCGUCAGUGGGGCCGUUUCUUGUUGCUUAUUUGUUUGCUGGCCUGCUCUUCCAGCUGCAUGGCCAGGCGCAAGGCCUUGAUGACAUCUGGAGGGAAGGAGUGGUGGUGCACUGGGGGUUAGUGGGUGUCUCAGAAGCCCCGUUCCCUCAGGGCAGAGGCCCCAUCCUCCAGCCACACCCACCUCGCAGGGCUGAGAAGUGCUUGGCUUGCUGGACCAGGGCAGACUCUGUCUUGUUCACAAAGGUCUCCAGGUCAUAGUCUGGCUGCUCGGUCAUCUCGGAGAGCUCAAGCCAGCCUGGCCCUUGCUGCAAUGACAUGGGGGGGGGGGGGGGGGACCUUGUCAGUUCAAAAAUGACCAAAUAAACUUAGCAAAUUAUUCCUGGGCCCCUACCAUCUGCAAUGCAGACAACCUAGGCAAGAUGCCCACUCCUUAAGCCAUAGCUUGUGCUCUGCUUCUUGACCUGCUCCUGUAGAAAUCUUCAUCUUGAAUUCAUCCUCUUCCCUACCCCAAACUUGUCCCUCUCCCCAGGUCAGAUGAAUGUCACAAUCUGUCUUGAUGCCAAGCAGGAAAUGGGAAUAAUAACUUUUUCUUUCACCCUGCUGGUCCCUAAAUCCUACCAAUUCUGCUUCUUAAAUGGCACCUGAGUCUCAUGUCCUCACUCCAGUCUCAUGGUGACCAUGACCACACUCUGUCUAGGCUCCAACAUCUCUCUUGAACUUUUUUUUUUUUAAUGUUUAUUUUUGAGACAGAGAGAGACAGAACAUGAGUGGGGGAGGAGCAGAGAGAGAGGUGGACACAGAAUCUGAGGCAAGUUCCAGGCUCUGAGCUGUCAGCACAGAGUGCAAUGUGGGGCUCAAAGCCACAAAGUGUGAGAUCAUAACCUGAGCCAAAGUCAGGCACUUAACCGACUGAGCCACCCAGGUGUCCAGAACUUUUUUUCUUUUUUUAAUGUUUAUUUUUGAGAGAGAGAGAGAGAGAGAGAGAGAGAGAGAGAGAGAGAAGAGUGACAGAGAAAACAUGGGGGAGGGGCAAAGAGAGGGAGACACAGGAUAUGAAGUGGGCUCUGUGCUGACAGCAGCAAACCUGACGCAGGGCUCAAACUCACGAAUCAUGAGAUCACGACCUGAGCCCAAGUCAGACACUUAACUGACUGAACCAUCCAGGUACCCCUCUUGAACUCUUUAUUACAAUCUCCUAAUUUCUCGUAACUCCUAAGUGCCUCUACUCAUGCUCUCCCUCAUUCCCAAACCAGACUCCACAUUGCAGCCACAGUGAUGUACCUAAAGCUGUGAUAAGACCACGUCAUCUGAUCUGACCAUACUCUACUCCCUUCAAAGGUAUCCACUGCCCUCAUAACCAAGUCCAGGCCUUUGGAGUGAGCCAUAGGUCUUUUAGCAUCAGGUUACCUGUUGACCUAGACACAUAUUUAAUCAAUGUCCCUUGCUUACAUCUUUUGCUUUGAGUAGAGUGAACCUCUCAUUCUUUCUGAAAAUACCAUGUCCUUUCACACAUUUGUACCCUGAGCACUCCAGGGAGGGAGGACAUGCCUAAGCGCUUACUCUUCAUGUUCCCUUCUCAUUUCUGAGUGGCCCAAGGUCCUUCUUUCUGCACUGCACCCUGCCCUGAAUACCCCACUGGCAGAGUGCACUCUUGGGCCUCCCCUCCCCUCUCCCUGUUCUCCCACAGCGGGAGUCACAGCAGCACCAGCAUCUACCACUUACUAUACACUAACCAUGUGCUGGGCACUGUUUUAAAAGCAUAUCUCUUAAUCUUCAGAUGCAAUCAUCCUAUCUUGCCCACUUCAGAGAUGAAGAAACUGAGGCCCAGUGAUGCUAAAUGACUUUCCUAAAGAAAUCAGCAUAUAAAUAGAAGAGUCAGGGGAAAAAAAAACAACUCAGAAGAGUCAGGAUUGAGCAAGUCUUACUUUAGGGCAUGCUAUCCAUACUUGAUGUUUUUGGUCCUUGGUUUUAGCACAGGAGUUGGCAUAUAGAAAGUACUCACCAAACAUUCACUGAGUAAACAAGCCAAGAUCUCUGCAAAGAAGUCACUCUCCAAAACCUCGAUCAGGAACACAGAGGGGAGAGACUAGCUCUGGCUAGGAGGAUGGAGGAAAGCCUGUGUAGGCCAGGCUGGAGAAAAGGGUAUGGUAAUUCAUUGUUCUAGAACAGCUAGAUGAAUAGGUGGACAAUUGAGGAAUACUAGGUAAAGGUCUGCCUCUUGCCAUCCCUACCUGAAGACCUGUGGGAGCAAAGCCCAGGUCAUGCUCAAGGAAUGGUUCUGAGCACUGCUGAGGGCCUGUGCUGGGGUGGAUAUCCAGUCCAUCCCUAACCAGGACCAGCUCAUCACCUGUAUUAUCUCCUUGAGCUCUUCCAUGGCCCUCUCCUCCAACUCCCUGAUCUGAGACAUGGCUUCAUUAAAGCUGGACAUCUGCGAAGACAGAUCCUCCUCUUCUUUGGAGAACUGAGGGGCCAAAAGGAGAGGUACAACAGUAUGGCCUAGUUUCCCUCGAUAGGCCACGUUUCCAUCCUGCCUGGCCCCACCCUACACCUUACAUUGCUUGUGAUCAGGGACCCAUGGGAGCUGGCUUCCAUCUCUUCUGUUUCCAUUUGAGUUGGUUGCUCACCACUGGAUCCACUGUGGGGGCUCAGCUCCUUGACCCUGAGGAACAAGAAGGUCUCAGAUCCCACAGGAACCUCUUUGGCACUCACAGGACUGCAGCAUCACUCAGACCAUGAGGCUCGGCAGCUUUUACAUUGGCCAAGCUGCCAUGCUGGCUUCACAUUAAGGCUUGAAGGGGACUGGGACAUGUCUGAACUCAGAUUCACUGAGUCACAGAAGAAUAUACAGUAGGCACUGAGGCUCCAGACUUCCUCCCUCUUCCUUUCCCCCCUCCUGCACCCGUCUCCCCAUCCCACUGGUCAUGGGUACUAGUACCUGUCUGCAUAUCUCAGUGUGUUUAAAGUAUAUUCGCAGGAGCUUAUGCCUGGUGAGAUCAUGGCAAUCUGCAAAACGGGGAAAUAGGCAGUUAAGGGUUGAGGAUCACAGGGUAGGGUAAAGGCGCUGGACUGCCUAGUACUGGAUACUGCCAGGAGUCGUCUCUUUGAGCUGCUGACACCCACACAGUAUUGGGGCGGAGAGCUAACUAAGUGCCUAGUCUGUGCCAGGCAAUUUGCCCCAGGCACUGAAAACUAAGGCACCUUAAAAAUUGGUUCCCUGCCUUUAAAGGUGCAUCUGGAUACCCCUGUUGUUUUAUCUCUUUAUGGACUCUUUCACCAAGGUCACAUCUCAAGGCUCUGUGGCUUAGUCAGAAAUUCCUACCUUCCCUAGUAGACAGGGAAGAGGAAGGAAGGAGGAAGGACUCUCCAGUAGGAAGAGGAGAUUCCUUAGAGGGGAAGAAGGCAGAUCCUAGCUAGCAGGCUUGUAGAUAAAAUAAGGAAAGGAACAAAAAGUCAUUUGAGGCCAUACCCCUUUCCUGUGUACUUAAUUAGGAGCCAGUGAACCUGAGGGAAACCAUAGAAGGGGAGAAUUUUGCUUUCCUGCUUUCCCACAGGCCAUCCUUCUGAAUUCUGGGGCCCCUUUUCAUCAGGUAAGGCCCUUUUGGACCCCAAACCAAGAGCUGCACAGACAUAUAGUAAAGGGAGCAGAUCCUCUCCUUCCCUCUUGAAUAGGCAAAGAGGAACCUGGUACUAAAAAGCAGUGGGGGGUGCCCAGUAAAGUUUGAGCCUGGAAACCCAGGUAGCCAAGGGCACCAAGCCUUCUGCCCAGAGACAGGACUCAACGUCUUCCUAUACCACCUCCAAAGUGACCCUACUCACCAUGCAGGUCCUUGAGUUCUCCCCGAUAAAGGAGUCCCUCAGCACCUGUGUCAGCUUGCUCUCUCGAAAUGGGGUGUGAGCCUUGUUCUGUCCCAGGGCCCUGAUGCACUCCUGUGGGGCAGCAGGAGCCACUGAGGUCCCUUUCUUCCUCUUGAGUUGCCCAUUCCCUCCCUCUCUCCCUCCCUCCACCAGCAGUCCUCCAGGCCAACCACCUGUUUAGGCCCUGCUACCUUCAGAGCCAGGAGACUCUUGUUGAUUUCUGCACCCUCCAUGCGAGUCUGCCGGUCAGCACUGGAAGUGUCCGCACCUCUCUCAUUCCCUGCCAGAUCCACCAAAGAGAACUUGCCAUGCACUCUCCCUUUGGCCCGAAGAAGAAUCUGGAAGCAGGCAUGGGAGCGGGAAGAGUUGGAGUUGGCAAAUGUCUGCCCAGAAGUCCUGUGGCAAAGGAGGGCAAAGAAAGGUUAUGAGCCACUGUGGCUCCCCAGAGUUCAAGCCACCCCACUCCACAGCACUGAGUUCUCUGUACAAAGGACACAGGUCAAGACUCUAAGCAGUCCUGUGUUUUCUUAUCCCAGAUUUCUGUUUUGCCCUUCCUGGGCAGCAGCUUUCCCUCUACCUCCAGAUCUGGCAAGUUUUCCUGCAGUGAAAGUACUAGAUUCUGUGCUAGGCCUUAGCCAGCCCAGAGGGCCCAAAAGCACAUGGGGAAGGGGAGUUGCCUGUGUUGCAGGGCACAUGAGGAGGAGGGGUUGUCAUGAACCACUUGUGAAAGCUUGAGAGGCUUGGAGAGGGCAACCCCCUCCCUGGGCCUCCAUAAGCCACCCAGCAUUCCACUGCACCAUGCCUGGUGGAAGAGCACUUCCCUACCUCUGUAUAGAAGCUAUGACCCCAUCCCUUCCAGCCCAGACUAGAUCCAGAGCUUGUCUCCUACCACAGAGGGAGGGGACAGCAAGAAGAAACCUAGAGAAGUCAGGAAGGAUGAUUUGGGGUAAGGACCUGGAAAUAAAGUCUACCUUGGUUAGAUUUAAGACACUUGCUCCUGAUGAGCCUCUUGCCCUGGGUCAUCUGCCCUAUUGAGAGUCCUUACGGCAGAGGCCCUCACAGCCCUCACCAAGCUGCAGAGAGUGGCGCUCUGUGGAAACAGCAAUGGGCUCAGAGCGGGGGUCUAUCACCUGAACCGGGCAUUAGGUGGCCCCUUCCCCUCACCAGAACUCUGACCUGCAGGCACUGCCUAUGUCGAUCAUCUUGAUGACAUCGUCAGCACAGCUAACCAGAUGCUCCUGUAGCCCCACCACCUGCACCUGCUGCUUGCCGUCCUCCAGCACGCGCAGCUUAGCUUUCUUGUUGAGCAGAUCAAACAGCUGUGCCAAGCAGGGGAACAAGGAUAAGGCCAUUAGGUCCUGGACACCCUACCUACACCCCCUCCUUCAGGGCCUGUCCCA
This 11732-nucleotide long non-coding RNA is filed under the name Lynx pardinus (Iberian lynx). The record is from RNAcentral. Lineage: Eukaryota; Metazoa; Chordata; Mammalia; Carnivora; Felidae.